This 253-nucleotide ribosomal RNA is filed under the name uncultured bacterium. RNAcentral describes it as "partial 16S ribosomal RNA". It matches the Rfam family "Bacterial small subunit ribosomal RNA", at positions 524 to 776 of the family's 1533-position model. The record is from RNAcentral.
UACGAAGGGGGCAAGCGUUGUUCGGAAUUACUGGGCGUAAAGCGUGCGCAGGCGGUUUUGUAAGCCAGAUGUGAAAUCCCCGGGCUUAACCUGGGAAUGGCAUUUGGGACUGCAAGGCUUGAGUGCGGCAGAGGAGACUAGAAUUCCUGGUGUAGCAGUGAAAUGCGUAGAUAUCAGGAGGAAUACCGAUGGCGAAGGCAGGUCUCUGGGCUGACACUGACGCUCAUGCACGAAAGCGUGGGGAGCAAACAGG